UACGGGGGGGGCAAGCGUUGUUCGGAAUUACUGGGCGUAAAGGGCUCGUAGGUGGCCAACUAAGUCAGACGUGAAAUCCCUCGGCUUAACCGGGGAACUGCGUCUGAUACUGGAUGGCUUGAGUGUGGGAGAGGGAUGCGGAAUUCCAGGUGUAGCGGUGAAAUGCGCAGAUAUCGGGAAGAACACCCGUGGCGAAGGCGGCUCUCUGGGCCUGACCUGACGCUGAGGAGCGAAAGCGUGGGGAGCGAACAGG
RNAcentral lists this ribosomal RNA (253 nucleotides) under uncultured bacterium. RNAcentral describes it as "partial 16S ribosomal RNA". It matches the Rfam family "Bacterial small subunit ribosomal RNA", at positions 524 to 776 of the family's 1533-position model. The record is from RNAcentral.